RNAcentral lists this long non-coding RNA (421 nucleotides) under Otus sunia (Oriental scops-owl). Its description in RNAcentral is "lncRNA (ENSOSUG00000010228.1)". The record is from RNAcentral. Lineage: Eukaryota; Metazoa; Chordata; Aves; Strigiformes; Strigidae.
CUCCUGGGCAUCAAGACCCGCCUGGAGCAGGAGAUUGCACAGUACCGGGCACUGCUUGAGGAAGGGCAGCAGGAUAUUAGCAUCUCACAGGGAGGAGCUGGCAGCGGAUCUUCAGGAGGAGGAGGUCAUGGAGGAACCAGUUGGUCUUCUGGAAAAGGAAGUAGUGGAAGAGGAAGUAGUUGGUCCUCAGGUGGAGGAAGCAGUGGAGGAAAAACUGGAGGAUCCAGUGGAGGAACUUCCUAUUCUGGAGGUGGAGGAGGAGGGAGAGGAGGAGGAACAGGAGGUGGAGCCUGUGGUAAAACAUCAGGUGGAGGAGGCGGCAGUGGCGAAGGAGGGGGCAAAUCCUGCCUCUCCCGCUCUUCAUCUUCUCAGUCCCAAUCUGGCAAGUCUUGUGAAAGCCAAGGAGGUGCUGAAAACAUGA